This 2020-nucleotide long non-coding RNA is filed under the name Mytilus galloprovincialis (Mediterranean mussel). Lineage: Eukaryota; Metazoa; Mollusca; Bivalvia; Mytilida; Mytilidae. The record is from RNAcentral.
GUUCCUAUGGCUUUAUGAUGUAUAAAAAUGAAUUUCGACCAAAGGUCAAAAUCUAGAACGUCCAAUUUACCUAUGACCUUGACCUCAAUUUCAAGGUCAUAAACAUAGGAUCCCAAAUCAAAAGACCCUAGGUCUGUAUUAUGUAUGGUUCAUGAGUAAUAUCACUUUACGCAUAAUUCUAAAUAUAAGAUGGGCGAAAACUCCCAUUUAUUGUCUACGCACCCUUGUAACCAAAAUUUAUAAGUAACGACAUGUCGCAACUAACAAUUUAGUAAAAAAAAUUGUCGAUAUCUUAUAAGGUUAAUGAAAAAAGGUGAAAAUAAGCCAAAAUCAAAAUUUAGAAUUUGACCUUGACCUUUGACCUUGACCUAAUUUUCAUUUUUUUGGACCAAGGAUCUAAAAUCAAAAGACCCUAGGUCUCUAUCACUUAUGGUUUACCAGUUAGAAAUGCAUAUUACUUAUAUCAUAUAUAAAAGGGGGGAUAACUCUCAUAUGGAGUCUCCGGAUAGCUUCGGUCAAAAUGAAACAGAACAUCCUGAGGAUAUAACGAGCAAUUUGGAAAAAUAAAUUUGUCGGUUUCUUAUACGGUUGUGGAGCCUUAGUGGCCACAAGAAAAACAGUGUUCGGGGAGAUAACUCUUACAAGGUAAAAGUUUUUUGUUACGCGGUGUCAGUUUCAGAAGCGCAUUAACUGUUCGAUAUCAUAUACCAUAUAUCUAAGCGACAUCUUGUGAAACAAAAAAACAGCGAAGGAAAAAAAAGUUGGUGGAAGAAAAAAAAAAAUAAUAAUAAUAAUAAUAAUUAAAAACCAAUUGUUCAAAGAACAAUUGAAGGUCUUUCAACCAAUAAAGAUCUAUUUAGAUAUGAAAAUAUUAAAAUUCAGUUGAAAAUGUCAGUUCCUAUGGCUUAAUGAUGUAUAAAUAUGAAUUUAAGCAAAGGUCAAAAUCUAGAACGUCCAAUUAACCUAUGACCUUGACCUCAAUUUCAAGGUCAUAGACUAAACAUCUCAAAUAAAAAGACACUAGUUCCUUAAUAUGUAUGGUUCAUGAGUAAAUCACUUUACGCAUAAUUCUUAAUAUAAGAGGGGCGAAAACUCCCUUUUAUUGUUUACGCACCCUCGCAACCAAAAUUUAUAAGUUACGACAUGUCGCAACUAACAAUUUAGUAAAAAAAAAAUUGUCGAUAUCUUAUAAGGUUAAUGAAAAAAGGUGAAAAUAAGCCAAAAUCAAAAUUAAGAAUUUGACCUUGACCUUUGACCUUGACCUAAUUUUCAUUUUUUUAGACCAAGGAUCUUAAAUCAAAAGACCCUAGGUCUCUAUCACUUAUAGUUUACCAGUUAGAAAUGCAUAUCACUGAUAUCAUAUAUAAAAGGGGGGAUAACUCUCAUAUGGAGUCUCCGGAUAGCUUCGGUUGAAAUGAAACAGAACAUCCUAAGGAUAUAACGAGCAAUUUGGAAAAAAUAAAUUUGUCGGUUUUUCUUAUACGGUUGCGAAGGAGUAGUUGGCCACAAGAAAAACAGUGUUCGGGAGAUAACUCUUACAAGGUAAAGUUUUUGUUACGCGGUGUCAGUUUCAGAAGCGUAUAAACUGUUCGAUAUCAUUACCAAAUAUCUAAGCGACAUCUUGUGAAACAAAAAACAGCGAAGGAAAAAAAAGUUGGCGGAAGAAAAAAAAAAAAAAAAAAAUUAAAAACCAAUUGUUCAAAGAACAAUUGAAGGUCUUUCAACCAAUAAGGAUCUAUUUUGAUAUGAUGAAAUAUAAAAAGAUUCAGUUGAAAAUGUCAGUUCCUAUGGCUUAUGAUGUAUAAAAUAUGAAUUUCGAGCAAAGGUCAAAAUCUAGAACGUCCAAUUAACCUAUGACCUUGACCUCAAUUUCAAGGUCAUAAACAUAGGAUCCCAAAUCAAAAGACCCUAGGUCUGUAUUAUGUAUGGUUCAUGAGUAAUAUCACUUUACGCAUAAUUCUAAAUAUAAGAGGGGCAAAAACUCCCAUUUAUUGUCUACGCACCCUUGUAACCAAAAUUU